GACGAACGCUGGCGGCGUGCCUAAUACAUGCAAGUCGAGCGAGUCUGCCUUGAAGAUCGGAGUGCUUGCACUCUGUGAAACAAGAUACAGGCUAGCGGCGGACGGGUGAGUAACACGUGGGUAACCUGCCCAAGAGAUCGGGAUAACACCUGGAAACAGAUGCUAAUACCGGAUAACAACAGAUGAUGCCUAUCAACUGUUUAAAAGAUGGUUCUGCUAUCACUCUUGGAUGGACCUGCGGUGCAUUAGCUAGUUGGUAGGGUAACGGCCUACCAAGGCGAUGAUGCAUAGCCGAGUUGAGAGACUGAUCGGCCACAUUGGGACUGAGACACGGCCCAAACUCCUACGGGAGGCAGCAGUAGGGAAUCUUCCACAAUGGACGCAAGUCUGAUGGAGCAACGCCGCGUGAGUGAAGAAGGGUUUCGGCUCGUAAAGCUCUGUUGUUGGUGAAGAAGGACAGGGGUAGUAACUGACCUUUGUUUGACGGUAAUCAAUUAGAAAGUCACGGCUAACUACGUGCCAGCCGCCGCCGUAACAC
RNAcentral lists this ribosomal RNA (538 nucleotides) under uncultured bacterium. RNAcentral's name for it is "bacterial SSU rRNA". It matches the Rfam family "Bacterial small subunit ribosomal RNA", at positions 28 to 526 of the family's 1533-position model. The record is from RNAcentral.